AGGGGUCGCUCUUAAAUAAACAACGUAAAUUCGUAUUGGUAAUUUUACCACUGACAAGUACCAUUGUAAUCCGCUAGGCGGCAUUUUUGACACGUGGCGAAAAAUAUGCGAUACAGUCUGAUAAUCGACUGCACGGAUGGCAGCCAUUGAAUUGUUUUCUGGACCGUACUGUGAUGUUUGUUGGAGCAAAGUGGAGAAAGUAUGCAAUACAGGGUUGAAUCGCAUAACAUGACAUCGAUUCAAUGGCUCGAGAAGAAAAGAUGGGGAAAACAUCACCAAAGCAUUCAGUCCAGGGAAACAGGUGGCAGAUAUGAGGAAUUCAGCUGGACACUUGACUGGCACAAACAUCCACCAAGAGACAAAACAUGGUCCCCCUCCUGGCCUGGAAACUCCAUCCUGAUGUCGACUGCUUCUUGUCGAUGCCUUCGAGAUGGGAUCCUGGUAGCAUCCACCAGACUCCUUUGCAGGCUCAGAGGAGAUCGGCCAAAAAAGGAUGUUACUGACCAAGGGAGUUAGCUGGCCAUUAAAUGAGGGGCAGUGCAGCAGGCUAAUUUCAAACAAAAUUGAGUCUGAUAAGGCUGAUUACAUACAUACUGAUUGCCUAUACAAUUUUGUUUUGUUUAAGUUUUGACAGAGAUCGAAUCCACAGUUUUAUCAUAUAUAUGUGAUGAAAGCUCCUUGGUUGUUUUGAUAUGAGAUUUGUCUAUUCUAUUAUUCAUGACUUAAAGUUA
Long non-coding RNA from Branchiostoma belcheri (Belcher's lancelet), 731 nucleotides. RefSeq lists it as uncharacterized. The transcript has 3 exons. NCBI's taxonomy places the organism in Eukaryota, Metazoa, Chordata, Leptocardii, Amphioxiformes, Branchiostomatidae. The record is from RefSeq and is a predicted model, not a curated record.